CUGAAAAACAACAUUAUUUAUCUGUUUAAAUUACAAAGACCCAAAGAAUAGACAGUGUCAAUGUAACUAAGUUGUGUAAUGCACAAUAGUACAUGUGUGUA
Long non-coding RNA from Sapajus apella (tufted capuchin), 101 nucleotides. RefSeq lists it as uncharacterized. The transcript is spliced from 3 exons. NCBI's taxonomy places the organism in Eukaryota, Metazoa, Chordata, Mammalia, Primates, Cebidae. The record is from RefSeq and is a predicted model, not a curated record.